AAGCGGCGCGUCCCGCGGCCGCGUGACCGCUCCCUCCCGGAAGUGCGGCGGGAGCGGGGCCGUGCGGGAGCCGGGAGGUGCCGAGCGCGGGGCGGGCACGGCCGGGAGCAGCGGGACUCGGCGCGGGCAGCGAUGCGGCUCCGCCGCCGCCCGGGCUCGCCGCCUUCGCCUCCCGCCGGGCGCCGGUGACCGUCACAGCGUCCCCGCCCCGGCGGAAUGAGCCCCGCCGCGCCGCCCCGCCAGCGCCGCGAUCCGGAGAAUUACUGAAGCUUGGAUUGCUCUCUUGAUACUAUAAACCUGCAAUAAGUGGCAAUGUCAAGGGUUCCCACCCCACCUCCUCCUGGGGAGAUGUCCAGUGGACCUGUGGCUGAAAGCUGGUGUUACACCCAGGUUAAAGUAGUAAAAUUUUCAUACAUGUGGACCAUUAAUAACUUCAGUUUUUGCCGUGAAGAAAUGGGUGAAGUUUUAAAGAGUUCUACAUUUUCAUCAGGGCCAAAUGACAAAAUGAAGUGGUGCCUGAGAGUGAAUCCAAAGGGAUUAGACGAUGAAAGCAAAGACUACUUGUCAUUGUAUUUGCUUUUAGUCAGUUGUCCAAAAAGUGAAGUCAGAGCAAAAUUCAAAUUUUCCUUGCUGAAUGCUAAAAGAGAAGAAACAAAAGCAAUGGAAAGCCAAAGAGCAUAUCGAUUUGUGCAAGGCAAGGACUGGGGGUUUAAGAAGUUUAUCCGAAGAGAUUUUUUGCUAGAUGAAGCUAAUGGUCUUCUACCAGAUGACAAGCUUACAUUAUUUUGUGAGGUAAGCGUGGUCCAAGACUCAGUAAAUAUAUCAGGACAGUCUAAUACAAACACUUUGAAGGUACCUGAAUGUCGACUAGCAGAAGAUUUAGGGAAUCUCUGGGAAACAACAAGAUUUACAGAUUGCAGUUUUUAUGUAGGAGGACAAGAAUUCAAAGCUCAUAAAUCUGUCCUUGCAGCACGAUCUCCAGUUUUUAAUGCAAUGUUUGAACAUGAAAUGGAGGAAAGCAAAAAGAAUCGUGUAGAAAUAAAUGAUGUAGACCCUGAAGUUUUUAAAGAAAUGAUGAGAUUCAUUUACACAGGAAAAGCACCAAACCUUGAAAAAAUGGCUGACAAUUUGUUGGCAGCUGCAGACAAAUAUGCACUGGAACGGCUGAAGGUGAUGUGUGAGGAAGCACUCUGUAGUAACCUCUCGGUAGAAAAUGUUGCUGACAUUCUUAUCCUCGCAGAUUUGCACAGCGCUGAACAGCUAAAAGCACAAGCAAUAGACUUUAUUAACAGGUGCAGUGUUCUUAGACAACUUGGGUGUAAAGAUGGGAAAAACUGGAAUAGCAAGUAAGUUUCCCUGCCCCACGAUGUUCUGUACAAACACUGCUAAGUAGACUGCAGAUCUUAAGAACUGUUGCUUCAUUUCCACACUACUGAGGCCUGUCACUGACUCCAAGCAACAGACAUAAUGGAAACUGCAGGCUGGAAGUCCAUGAUCCACUCCCACCCUCACUUAGUAGCCGAGGCCUUUCGCGCUCUGGCGUCUGCACAGUGUCCACAGUUUGGCAUUCCACGCAAACGGCUAAAACAGUCCUGAAAUCUUCCAUGAACUCUAGAGAAAUUGGACUGACUCCACUCCUCCUUGUCCAGAGGUGUUUUCACAAACCAUAACAAGAGUUUUUGUUAUCCUUGUCCACAGAACAGAAGCUGAAAAAGCCUAUUGUUUGCUUUUCAGAUGGAUAAUUUAUGGUUUAAUCCUCAGCUUUAAAUUAGACUGAUUACUCUAAUUCACUGAAAGGCCUUAAAUUAUCUUCAAUGACUCUCUAGUCCAUAUAGUCUAAUGUAUCUUGAUUUUUUUAUUAUUAUUUUUUAACGUGCCUUGUCUUUUUGACUAGGCUCUGCAGGAUUGCACUAGCUCCAUAAUGCAGUAAAGUUGAUAACUGAAGAUUAAUUUUUGAAAGGGAUCUUCCAUUAUUUUCAGAAGAAAAAAGAAAAAGAUUAUAGUUUGGUCCUGUGCUAACUGGAAGGUUUUGGCUGGCCUCUCAUUAAAAGCACUUGAACCAGAGGCACAUCAUGUACCCUAGGCAAGUGCUAAAUAUAGGGAGAGCCUGUUUACCUUCAGCAAAUGCCCACAGGCUAUUUAUGGCAAUAUACUGCUUUGAACAUAAUUUAUUUUUCAUUGUGGGGGCAAAUAUGCAAUGGUUUGGCCCAAAAAUGUAUUUUCAUUACAGUUUGUAAUGCUUAUUGUGUGUGUGUCAAAGCUGUCCGAGCGGUGAAGAGAAACACAGAAUAAACCUUUUUGCUUGUGUUUCUUUACGGUCCAUCAUUAGUUUACAUUUAAUGCAGAACUGAACGAGAGGUAAAAGAGCUCAAUGUGAAAAGGAAUAGUGUUGUAUAUGGAAUAAAUAUAUCCCAGUGUGUGGUUGCAUAGAAAAGUCAAGGAUGCAUAGAAUGACCAAAUGUAAAUUGAGGAAAUGGGCCAAAUGGAUUUUGAAUAUGCACUUUUAAUGUGUAACUUUUGUAUGUUGUGUGGUACAUAUAUAUUUUGCUUUUGAUGAAUCAAUGAGGUACAGGUAAUUGUGGCUUAACUUUUUAGAUACCUUUUAAGAUGCCCACAGCCACAUGGGAUUUAGUUUUGUUAGAAAAGAAAGGCAUGUCUUUUUAAGACUCAGUUGAAGGUGGCUAUUGCGAGCUUUCAUAUUUAAGUAACAAAAUAUUUUCGCUCAUUUGAAAAAGGCAUGUGAAUGGUAAAAACUUUGAGGGGAUUUUUCCCAUCUUGACGUACAUGCAUGGCUCCCACAAACACCUGGGGAGGCUGUGCACGCAUCCAGGAGUAUUUCCCUGAAAUGUCAGAUGGUAUCUGCAAGCAGAGACUUGCUCAGCCUUGCAUUUCAGUUAUUGUACUAGCAUUGUGGAUGGUAUUGAAAUUCUGCAUAAUGUGGAUGGUAUUGAAAUUCUGCAUAAUGUGAAAAGGAUGAAACAUUUGUAAACUGCUUGUCAUGGGCCAGUUCUUUACUAUAUGAACCUUAGCUUUAAUAUCAACAUCCUCAGUGUUUGAUAGCUUUGUUUACAAUUGGGAGGAAAAGUCUGCAGUAGUGCACACUCUAAAUGUUCCCUGAGUUAUUGCAUUGAGUUUACUGUAAUAGUGAUAAUAUGCUGUAUUUCUUUUUUUUGGGGGGAAGAUUUGGGUUUUACAGUGGGGAAUGGGAGGAGAUCUCACCUAAUUUAUAAAGAACUUUGCGUAAGGGUUUGAGUUUGCCUAUUAAAAAAAGUCAUGCAGGGAAAAGAGGGGAAGAAUUUCAGAUUGUUUCUCCAUCCUCAUUUCAUUGAGAUUCAUCUGACUUGCUCUGAAUGAAAUUUUUAGAGGAAAGAAUAUAUAAUUUUAUACUUUGGCAUCUAGUAAACCCCUUGCAAAGGUAAAUUGGAAAAAAAUGCUGAGUCCAAUUUUGAAGACUAAAACCUGUAAACAUGAUUUUUUUUCUUACCCUCUAGCUAAAUCUUUAUAAUGGCUAAAGUGUAAAAUCAGAAAUUUUAAUAAUACACAAGGCAUCAAAUUAUAUAUUUACAGAGAUUUAUCAAUUUUUAAAUAUUUAUCUAAGAUAAGGUCUCACAAGCAUUCUCCACAACAGGAGGUGAAGGUGUUUAUUCCAAAAUCAUGUUUUUGCUGCACUGUGUAACGUGUUGGGACUACAGCUCCUCAUCCUCAUCACUGUAAAGCUCACAGCGCUCACGUGCAAAGUGACUUGAAUAUUUAAUGCUGUAAUGAUUGCCCAGGUCAGCCUGUUCUAAAGUAACAACUUACAGUAAUCAGAUGGAAAGCUUAAGGAUUGCUAGAAUUAUUUUUUUUUAAAGCCUAAUAGCACACUUUGUACCAAAAAAAUGUCAGACACUGUGCUGUGGUAUCGUCUGCAUCAUAGAGUGUCCCCUCCUUGAGCCAGGCAGUGUGUUACACCAACAGGAAAGGGCCCUCUGCUGAUCCAUCUGGUUGGAUUGGACUUUAUUUAUUUAAGUUAUCAAGUUCUGACAGAUCUUGAGAAAAAGGUAAAGCAGUUGCUGUAUUCUUAAGUGAGUGCACUAAUUAUUCACCUCUUUAAUUACCUACAUGCAGUGUUCUCACUGGAACGGGACAUUGAUAAUUACCACCUUCCCCUUUGGAUUCAGUAGCUUGGUUUCAUUCCCCACAUCUCAAGAAGUUGCCCUUAAAGCUUCAGUUGGAAGUGCAGCAGAUCAGGAAUAAUCAGUGGUCAGGUUUUUCCAGGCUGAAGUCCUGGGGGUUUUUCCUGGUUUUCCCUCCAGGUUAGGAAUAUGCCGUAUGAAGGUGCCAUGUUUUGGCUUGCCAACACUACUCUCUCAUAGAUGUGAACCACCACUUCUGUGCUUUUCUGGGGAGAACCCUGCAUGUGUCCUGUGUGUGUGCGUGUGUGUGUGUGUGUGACUGUGUGGUGUUUUUUGUCAAGGGUGACUUUCUAAAAAUAAGGACUCAAUUUGCUGUUAAAAUGCUAUUAUGUAUUAUAUAUAUUUUUAUUUUUUUUUCUCCAUUCAAACCUCUCCUAAGGAGAUGCUUUGGGUGGAAGUUGCUUCAAUAAAUAAUCCUUAUUUCCUAGUCCAUUUACUGCAUGCAGAAGUAUGAACACAUUGUGCCUUUAUAGGAAACUGUUGCAAUGAAGGGAUGAUUUAACAGGGUGCAAGGUCUUUGUAAAAGGUAUUUUUAAAGGUGAAGAAGAAUACUCUUUGGUACACAAUUGAGAUGGAAAAGUUCAAGUUGCAUUUGACCUCUGUUGCAUGUUGAUUCUUGCUUCCUAAAUUCAAUUUCACCGAGGUACAAACUACACAAACAAGUGGAAUAAGUAUCACAGAUACAAGUUGAGUAAUGGUAUAUUUUUGUGAAAUUGUGAUAAUAUUUGCUGUUACAAGGUAAGUGUAUGUCAAAACGUGAUAAUCAUGGACACAAGGUUACUCUAGUUCUGAUGUUUUUCUACACAUUGAGUAUUUAGUAUAAGAUUCACCUUUGCACAGGAGAUCAGUAGAGGAUCUACACGGAGAUUGUGUUCCUUUUAAAUCCUCACAGCAAGGCUUCUCCUUUGGGGGAAUCAAAGCCAUGUGCAGUAUUUGAAACUGUGUUUCAUAGAAGGCAGUGAAUUGCAGACGUGAGGUACUGCUACCUGAAAUGUUGUCGAAUUCUGUUGAAUUUUACAGUUGAUUAAAAUUCCUAAGCUUAAUUGCUUUUUUUUUUUUUUUUUUUUUUUUGUAAUUGACAAAUGGAAUGUUACCUGUCCUCUGUCUGUUGUCAAUAGUGUAUUUAGUGCAGAGCUUAGCUCCUUAGCUAGCCAAGACACUUAGUCUCAUAACUUGGCUUCUGCUUACAGUAAAUGGACUAUGUUUGUAAAGGGAAUUCACUAUUUCAAGUGUUUUGCAAGGAACUUCACUGUAUUUGUAACCUGGUUUUUGAAGGCUUGAGAUCAAUGAGUCCUAUUUUAGAAGUUAAACCAGUGAAAUGACUUGGACCUGUUUUGGGGUGGAAAUGAUAAAGAGAAUUCAGAUAUGUAAACAGUCGUAUCAAACCAUCCAGCCUUUUUUUAUCAGCUGAUGUUAAUGGUGAAAUACUUUUUGUACCUUGUUGCUGAAAAUAUUUUUGCGUUUCAGCACAUCAAGUUACAAUAAAGUUGUUACUUAUA
This is an RNA transcript of Motacilla alba alba, 5674 nucleotides long. It is a transcript of the gene named speckle type BTB/POZ protein like, with no coding region annotated. The record is from RefSeq and is a predicted model, not a curated record. The transcript is spliced from 11 exons. NCBI's taxonomy places the organism in Eukaryota, Metazoa, Chordata, Aves, Passeriformes, Motacillidae.